AAAUGCAAUUUGCAUCUGCUCUUCAGACUGUAAGGUGGGCCACGCUAAUUGCUGUCACCUCAGCCCCUCCACAGCAGGAAGCAGGUUUAUGAGCAUACCCUGUGUUUCACAUCAUACUCUUCUGGAUGAAGUCAGUCACAGAUCAAAGUUUUCUGUACCCCAGUAGCACAAUCCACCCCGUGCACGAUCCCCGCGGCCCGUCUGUGCUCAGGACACAGCUCAGGUGAGCUCAGGUGCCGGCUCCGGCCACGCUGCACGGACACACGAGGAGCCCGGGAAAACCUCCGUGUGGAACCACAGCGUUCCUGCUGAGGACACGAGGUUCUGGAUGAAGGAAGCAGUAGACUAACCUGGAUCCACGCUUGCUAAAUUUCCAAGAGGAUUUUUGUGGGAAAGGUGGAGCUGCUAGUGGAACGUCCCAGAUCUUUGGCGGCAGCCUGCAAGACUGCUGGAAAGGACAGAGGAAUGCCUGCCUCUACCACAUAACAUUUUCUGGUGGAUGGGUAGCAUCUCUGAAUAAGGAAUCAAAGAAUUUGCAAGGAUUGGUAAAAGAUUUUCAAAGAAAAUUUUGAAGGAAAGCUGCUGUAAAUCAGAGAAGUCUCAGUCUUGAAACACAGAGAUGGAAGUGACAUAGCAGAUUUCUGCAUCUACACAUCUUAUGUAAAAGCUAUGGAAGAACAAGCAGUUGUCAGCAAGAGGCUGGUGAAAUUUGAGGAUGCAAUCAAACUCUGAGGCUGCAGAGCACUGGCGGCUGAGUUAAAGAUUGGGGGUUUUCUUAAAGCUGAGUAAGACCAAACCUCGUCUAGGAAACUCCUGCUGGUUGACCUCAGUGUCCUUCAUGGGUCUGCUGGGCACAGACUAACGUUGCAGAACCUUCCUCUGAACAGCAGGCCUGAAUCUCUUUAUUCCAAGGUUCACUUGGCACAGCAGGCAGGCAGGGCUGGAACUGCCUGGUUCUCAGGCUGCUUUGACUCAUGCAUGGGGGCAGCUGUGGUGGGAUCAGAUGGCUCUGUGCCACGUAUGGACUAGAGCAGCGUAGAGACGUCCUGUGCCACACUGCGUUGUCCUGUGCCACACUGCGUUCCUGCUGCAUCCUCUGUGCCGGCACUGGAGGGAUGUGAUGAAGGAAUAGUAGGGUAAAAGAGCUUUUUACAAGUCAGUAUUAUUCUCCAGCCUGUUUGAGCCUUCCAGGCAAAAUGCCAAGGGAAGAGAAUUAAGUCUGGUGCUUGUCUGUGAAUUUAGCUCAGGAAUUACUUGUGAAGGGAACCUCACUACUGCUGACCUAUUAUGGUGCACAUGGGAAGUUGACACCUUAGAGAAUUCAUUGACCAGCCUGUUUGUUGCAGACUGUUUCAUUCAUGAGCUAUUGAGAGACUGAAAUGGCUUUUAAAACAAAGAUUAUUGAGUAAUAAGCUGGAAGUCGUUCAUGACUGGGACAUAUCUGGCAGUUCUGCCAUGACACUGAAGCUAGAAAUCAUGACACUUCCAGAGCCUGAAAAUCAUAAAUAUUUCUUAGCUAUAUGUGUAUAUUUGGCUAAUGAGUAACACUCUUUGGGGUUACUUAAAAGUAGCAAUAAGCUGUUUUUGAUACUAGAUGAACAUCUAGUACUUUCCACAGAGGACUCACUCCAAGCCACAGCUGCUGUAAAGGGAAGAGGGCCAGAUUCACUGUGGGUCUUCAGUAACUCUGCUUGGAGAAAAUCACUGUGACUUUGAGAAGAGAACACAGUGAUUACUACACUUUGUAAUAUUUGUAAGUCCACUAGUUUAUUUGCUUUGUGCAAACCUGUGCAACAAGUCUGCCAGCAAAGUCAAAAUCAACAAAUCUUUUAAA
Molecule: long non-coding RNA, 1834 nt
Organism: Pipra filicauda (Wire-tailed manakin)
Lineage: Eukaryota; Metazoa; Chordata; Aves; Passeriformes; Pipridae
Exons: 6
Source: RefSeq, a predicted model, not a curated record